This is a long non-coding RNA of Hibiscus syriacus, 347 nucleotides long. RefSeq lists it as uncharacterized. Lineage: Eukaryota; Viridiplantae; Streptophyta; Magnoliopsida; Malvales; Malvaceae. The transcript is spliced from 3 exons. The record is from RefSeq and is a predicted model, not a curated record.
AGGCCACUUUGAUUUUGUUUGGUUUGAUUUGCAACGAUGAUGGAGCUGUUCGUGUUGGGGUGUACCGGAGUUGUGGUGUUCCUUCACGGUGCCAAUUUCUUCUUCCACGUUCUUUGCCAGCACCUCGCUGUUCGUUCUCUCAGUUUCUUGGGAUUUGUUGGGUGGUAGAAAAAGGGAGAAAAGAGAGUUUGAAAGAGGAUUCAUUUAUCUUCAUGCAAUUUUUCAAUGUGGAUUAUGCUUUGUAAAUAUUUGAUUAUAAGCAUGUCAAUGUGAUGAUAUGUAUGUAUCAUUGAAGCUAUAUUUCUAUUGUCGAUGUUGAAAUGAAGUAUGAUUUUCAGUUUUUUCAA